CCCGCCUGAGAGGGCGACCGGCCACACUGGGACUGUAGACACGGCCCAGACUCCUACGGGAGGCAGCAGUGGGGAAUAUUGCACAAUGGGCGAAAGCCUGAUGCAGCGACGCCGCGUGAGGGAUGACGGCCUUCGGGUUGUAAACCUCUUUCAGCAGGGAAGAAGCGAAAGUGACGGUACCUGCAGAAGAAGCGCCGGCUAACUACGUGCCAGCAGCCGCGGUAAUACGUAGGGCGCAAGCGUUGUCCGGAAUUAUUGGGCGUAAAGAGCUCGUAGGCGGCUUGUCACGUCGGUUGUGAAAGCCCGGGGCUUAACCCCGGGUCUGCAGUCGAUACGGGCAGGCUAGAGUUCGGUAGGGGAGAUCGGAAUUCCUGGUGUAGCGGUGAAAUGCGCAGAUAUCAGGAGGAACACCGGUGGCGAAGGCGGAUCUCUGGGCCGAUACUGACGCUGAGGAGCGAAAGCGUGGGGAGCGAACAGGAUUAGAUACCCUGGUAGUCCACGCCGUAAACGGUGGGCACUAGGUGUGGGCAACAUUCCACGUUGUCCGUGCCGCAGCUAACGCAUUAAGUGCCCCGCCUGGGGAGUACGGCCGCAAGGCUAAAACUCAAAGGAAUUGACGGGGGCCCGCACAAGCGGCGGAGCAUGUGGCUUAAUUCGACGCAACGCGAAGAACCUUACCAAGGCUUGACAUACACCGGAAACGGCCAGAGAUGGUCGCCCCCUUGUGGUCGGUGUACAGGUGGUGCAUGGCUGUCGUCAGCUCGUGUCGUGAGAUGUUGUGUUAAGUCCCGCAACGAGCGCAACCCUUGUCCCGUGUUGCCAGCAAGCUCCUUCGGGGGUGUUGGGGACUCACGGGAGACCGCCGGGGUCAACUCGGAGGAAGGUGGGGACGACGUCAAGUCAUCAUGCCCCUUAUGUCUUGGGCUGCACACGUGCUACAAUGGGCGGUACAAUGAGCUGGGAUACCGCACGGUGGAGCGAAUCUC
This 986-nucleotide ribosomal RNA is filed under the name Streptomyces sp. Its description in RNAcentral is "bacterial SSU rRNA". It matches the Rfam family "Bacterial small subunit ribosomal RNA", at positions 287 to 1275 of the family's 1533-position model. Lineage: Bacteria; Bacillati; Actinomycetota; Actinomycetes; Kitasatosporales; Streptomycetaceae. The record is from RNAcentral.